UAGCAUGUUUAUCAAAAACAUUUCUUUCAGAAAUUAUUUAAAGUAAAGCCUGCCCACUGAUUGUUAAAGGGCCGCGGUAUACUGACCGUGCUAAGGUAGCGUAAUCAUUAGUCUUUUAAUUGGGGAAUAGAAUGAAUGGCUAAACCUAUAAAAAUUUUAUUUUUUACAGGUUUCAAAAUUUAAUUUUAGUUGAAAAUGAUUAAUUUUAGAAAAAAGACGAUAAGACCCUGUAGAUCUUUACCUAAAUUUUAAACUUAAUUUUUGGGGGGAAGUUAAGUUUAAAAUUUAGGUUUAGUUGGGGCAACUUAAGAAAAAAAUUAACUUCUUUUACUUAAUUAUAUCUUAAAUUUUAAAAGUUAAAAAGUUACCUUAGGGAUAACAGCGUUAUAACUAUUAAGAGUUCUAAUCGACAUAGUUGUUUGCGACCUCGAUGUUGAAUUAAAAUUUUUUUGGGGGGCAGUUUUUUUGAGAAACAGUCUGUUCGACUGUUAAAUUUUUACAUGAUUUGAGUUCAAACCGGCGA
Molecule: ribosomal RNA, 523 nt
Filed under: Himalanura sp. SX07202_2
Lineage: Eukaryota; Metazoa; Arthropoda; Collembola; Entomobryomorpha; Entomobryidae
Description: partial 16S ribosomal RNA
Rfam family: Bacterial large subunit ribosomal RNA
Source: RNAcentral